This 118-nucleotide ribosomal RNA is filed under the name uncultured bacterium. RNAcentral's name for it is "partial 16S ribosomal RNA". It matches the Rfam family "Bacterial small subunit ribosomal RNA", at positions 1384 to 1501 of the family's 1533-position model. The record is from RNAcentral.
UACACACCGCCCGUCACACCAUGGGAGUGGGCUGCACCAGAAGUAGAUAGUCUAACCGCAAGGGGGACGUUUACCACGGUGUGGUUCAUGACUGGGGUGAAGUCGUAACAAGGUACCC